UGGGGAAUAUUGUACAAUGGGGGAAACCCUGAUGCAGCAACGCCGCGUGGAGGAUGACGCAUUUCGGUGUGUAAACUCCUUUUAUAUAGGAAGAUAAUGACGGUACUAUAUGAAUAAGCACCGGCUAACUCCGUGCCAGCAGCCGCGGUAAUACGGAGGGUGCAAGCGUUACUCGGAAUCACUGGGCGUAAAGCGCGCGCAGGCGGCCUGAUAAGUUGGAUGUGAAAGCCUACGGCUCAACCGUAGAACUGCAUCCAAAACUGUCAGGCUAGAGUCUGGGAGGGGAAGAUGGAAUUAGUUGUGUAGGGGUAAAAUCCGUAGAGAUAACUAGGAAUACCAAAAGCGAAGGCGAUCUUCUGGAACAGUACUGACGCUGAGGCGCGAAAGCGUGGGGAGCAAACAGG
This 404-nucleotide ribosomal RNA is filed under the name uncultured bacterium. RNAcentral's name for it is "bacterial SSU rRNA". It matches the Rfam family "Bacterial small subunit ribosomal RNA", at positions 355 to 776 of the family's 1533-position model. The record is from RNAcentral.